RNAcentral lists this small RNA (135 nucleotides) under Salmonella enterica. Its description in RNAcentral is "partial RtT sRNA". It matches the Rfam family "RtT RNA", at positions 31 to 130 of the family's 130-position model. From Rfam's summary of the family: This family represents a bacterial cis-regulatory element known as RtT RNA. The exact function of RtT is unknown although it is thought that it may be involved in changing the cellular response in relation to amino acid starvation. Lineage: Bacteria; Pseudomonadati; Pseudomonadota; Gammaproteobacteria; Enterobacterales; Enterobacteriaceae. RNAcentral also lists the same sequence under 2 other names. The record is from RNAcentral.
AUUGGUCGCAGGUUCGAAUCCUGCACGACCCACCAAUAUACAAGGUGGUAACUGGUAGAGAACGUGAAGGUUAACGUUGCUUUAGCAACGGCCCGAAGGGCGAGGCGAAGCCGAGUCAUCCUGCACGACCCACCA